Molecule: ribosomal RNA, 580 nt
Filed under: uncultured bacterium
Lineage: Bacteria
Description: bacterial SSU rRNA
Rfam family: Bacterial small subunit ribosomal RNA
Source: RNAcentral
ACGGGUGAGUAACACGUGGGCAACCUACCUUAUCGACUGGGAUAACUCCGGGAAACCGGGGCUAAUACCGGAUAACAUCUAGCACCUCCUGGUGCCGGAUUAAAAGAGGGCUUCUUGCUCUCACGAUGAGAUGGGCCCGCGGCGCAUUAGCUAGUUGGAGAGGUAAUGGCUCCCCAAGGCGACGAUGCGUAGCCGACCUGAGAGGGUGAUCGGCCACACUGGGACUGAGACACGGCCCAGACUCCUACGGGAGGCAGCAGUAGGGAAUCUUCCGCAAUGGACGAAAGUCUGACGGAGCAACGCCGCGUGAGUGAUGAAGGGUUUCGGCUCGUAAAGCUCUGUUAUGAGGGAAGAACACGUACCGUUCGAAUAGGGCGGUACCUUGACGGUACCUCAUCAGAAAGCCACGGCUAACUACGUGCCAGCAGCCGCGGUAAUACGUAGGUGGCAAGCGUUGUCCGGAAUUAUUGGGCGUAAAGCGCGCGCAGGCGGCCUUUUAAGUCUGAUGUGAAAUCUUGCGGCUCAACCGCAAGCGGCCAUUGGAAACUGGGAGGCUUGAGUACAGAAGAGGAGAGUGGAA